RNAcentral lists this ribosomal RNA (292 nucleotides) under uncultured bacterium. RNAcentral describes it as "partial 16S ribosomal RNA". It matches the Rfam family "Bacterial small subunit ribosomal RNA", at positions 505 to 796 of the family's 1533-position model. The record is from RNAcentral.
GUGUCAGCCGCCGCGGUAAUACGUAGGGUGCGAGCGUUAAUCGGAAUUACUGGGCGUAAAGCGUGCGCAGGCGGCGCCGCAAGUCAGGCGUGAAAUCCCCGAGCUUAACUUGGGAAUGGCGCUUGAAACUACGGUGCUGGAGUGUGGCAGAGGGAGGUGGAAUUCCACGUGUAGCGGUGAAAUGCGUAGAGAUGUGGAGGAACACCGAUGGCGAAGGCAGCCUCCUGGGCCAACACUGACGCUCAUGCACGAAAGCGUGGGGAGCAAACAGGAUUAGAAACCCUCGUAGUCC